AGAUUGAACGCUGGCGGCAUGCCUAACACAUGCAAGUCGAACGCGAAAGGGGGCAACCCUGAGUAGAGUGGCGGACGGGUGAGUAACGCAUCGGAAUUUACCCUGUCGUGGGGGAUAACCAAGGGAAACUUUUGGCUAAUACCGACAUGAUCUGGAGACAGCAAAGCGGGGGACCUGCAAGGGCCUCGCGCGAUGGGAUGAGCCGAUGUCUGAUUAGCUAGUUGG
This 225-nucleotide ribosomal RNA is filed under the name uncultured soil bacterium. Its description in RNAcentral is "partial 16S ribosomal RNA". It matches the Rfam family "Bacterial small subunit ribosomal RNA", at positions 26 to 252 of the family's 1533-position model. The record is from RNAcentral.